CAAAAACAUCGCCUCUUGCCCCAAACAUAAGAGGUCCAGCCUGCCCAGUGACUAUUGUUCAACGGCCGCGGUAUCCUAACCGUGCGAAGGUAGCGUAAUCACUUGUUCUUUAAAUGAGGACUAGUAUGAAUGGCAUCACGAGGGUUAUACUGUCUCCUCUCUCUAAUCAGUGAAACUAAUCUCCCCGUGAAGAAGCGGGGAUAAAAUUAUAAGACGAGAAGACCCUAUGGAGCUUUAAGUAAAUCUUCAAACGCUUGUACACCCUAACAGUCAUAGACCCUUAAAAUUAACUUUAGCGCCAUGAAGAUGAACUUUAGGUUGGGGUGACCACGGAGUACAAAAAAACCUCUACGCUGAACAAGCCUCAAAGCCUUGAGUAAAGGACCACAACCCGACACACUAAUAAACUAACACCCAUUGACCCAAUAAUCCUUUGAUCAACGAACCAAGUUACCCUAGGGAUA
RNAcentral lists this ribosomal RNA (464 nucleotides) under Scinax boesemani group sp. ABGD cluster 8. RNAcentral's name for it is "partial large subunit ribosomal RNA". It matches the Rfam family "Bacterial large subunit ribosomal RNA", at positions 1808 to 2476 of the family's 2925-position model. Lineage: Eukaryota; Metazoa; Chordata; Amphibia; Anura; Hylidae. The record is from RNAcentral.